Molecule: ribosomal RNA, 303 nt
Filed under: uncultured bacterium
Lineage: Bacteria
Description: partial 16S ribosomal RNA
Rfam family: Bacterial small subunit ribosomal RNA
Source: RNAcentral
AGCAGUAGCCGCGGUAAUACGAAGGGUGCAAGCGUUAAUCGGAAUUACUGGGCGUAAAGCGUGCGUAGGCGGUUUGUUAAGUCUGUUGUGAAAUCCCCGGGCUCAACCUGGGAAUGGCAAUGGAUACUGGCAAGCUAGAGUGUGUCAGAGGAUGGUGGAAUUCCCGGUGUAGCGGUGAAAUGCGUAGAGAUCGGGAGGAACAUCAGUGGCGAAGGCGGCCAUCUGGGACAACACUGACGCUGAGGCACGAAAGCGUGGGGAGCAAGCAGGAUUAGAUACCCGUGUAGUCCCUGUCUCUUAUAA